GUCAAUGCUCGAAAGAGUGAACUAGCUAACUGAAAUCAAUUAAAAUAAUUGAUAAGAUAAGGGAAAAUAAUGAUAUUACCUUAUUAUUAGUGUCGUCCAAAUCUGGUGCCAGAAGACUCGGUAAGGCCAGAGACACAAACGUUAAUCGUCUUAAUCAGGCGUAAAGGGUUUGUAGGCGGCUUUAAAAUUUACUAAAAAACAAAAUAAACAAAACAAAUAAAUAAUAAACAACAAACAAAACAAAUAAUAAACAACAAAACAAAAUAAACAAAACAAAUAAAUAAUAAACAACAAAACAAAACAAAACAAAUAAAUAAUAAACAACAAACAAAACAAAUAAAUAAUAAACAACAAACAAAACAAAUAAAUAAUAAACAACAAACAAAACAAAUAAACACAAAUAAAUAAAAGUAAAAAAUAAAAGCUAGAAUCAAAUAGAGGAUAUAUUAAAGAAUGCUUAGAGUAGGUCUGAUAUCCAUAGAUACUAAGUGGAAUAUUAAAGGCGAAAGCUUUUUUCCAUUAAUGAUUGACGCUGAGAAACGAAGGGGAGGAUAGGAAAUAGGAUUAGAUACCCAGAAUACCCCUCUCUGUAAACGAUGAAUGGUAGUUAUUAGUAAAAAUAUUUUUUUUUUAAUGGCAAUGUUAACACGAUAACCAUUCCGCCUUGUGAGUACAACUGCAAAGUUGAAAACAAAAAAAUUAGUCGGUUUCGGAGCAAACGAAGUGAAGCAUGUUAUUUAAUUC
This 744-nucleotide ribosomal RNA is filed under the name Russula discopus. RNAcentral describes it as "partial 12S small subunit ribosomal RNA". It matches the Rfam family "Bacterial small subunit ribosomal RNA", at positions 367 to 952 of the family's 1533-position model. Lineage: Eukaryota; Fungi; Basidiomycota; Agaricomycetes; Russulales; Russulaceae. The record is from RNAcentral.